UAGGGAAUCUUCGGCAAUGGGGGGAACCCUGAUCGAGCAACGCCGCGUGAGUGAAGAAGGCUUUCGGAUCGUAAAGUUCUGUUGUCAAGGAAGAACGAGCGUGAGAAUGGAAAGUUCAUGCUGUGACGGUACGUAACCAGAAAGGGACGGCUAACUACGUGCCAGCAGCCGCGGUAGUACGUAGGUCCCGAGCGUUGUCCGGAUUUAUUGGGCGUAAAGCGAGCGCAGGCGGUUAGGAAAGUCUGAAGUGAAAGGCAGUGGCUCAACCGUUGUAGGCUUUGGAAACUGUAUAGCUUGAGUGCAGAAGGGGAGAGUGGAAUUCCGUGUGUAGCGGUGAAAUGCGUAGAUAUGUGGAGGAACACCGGUGGCGAAGGCAACUCUCUGGUCUGUAACUGACGCUGAGGCUCGAAAGCGUGGGGAGCGAACAGG
Molecule: ribosomal RNA, 429 nt
Filed under: Bacteroidota bacterium
Lineage: Bacteria; Pseudomonadati; Bacteroidota
Description: Bacteroidetes bacterium partial 16S ribosomal RNA
Rfam family: Bacterial small subunit ribosomal RNA
Source: RNAcentral